UAGGGAAUCUUCGGCAAUGGACGAAAGUCUGACCGAGCAACGCCGCGUGAGUGAAGAAGGUUUUCGGAUCGUAAAACUCUGUUGUUAGAGAAGAACAAGGACGUUAGUAACUGAACGUCCCCUGACGGUAUCUAACCAGAAAGCCACGGCUAACUACGUGCCAGCAGCCGCGGUAAUACGUAGGUGGCAAGCGUUGUCCGGAUUUAUUGGGCGUAAAGCGAGCGCAGGCGGUUUCUUAAGUCUGAUGUGAAAGCCCCCGGCUCAACCGGGGAGGGUCAUUGGAAACUGGGAGACUUGAGUGCAGAAGAGGAGAGUGGAAUUCCAUGUGUAGCGGUGAAAUGCGUAGAUAUAUGGAGGAACACCAGUGGCGAAGGCGGCUCUCUGGUCUAUAACUGACGCUGAGGCUCGAAAGCGUGGGGAGCAAACAGG
RNAcentral lists this ribosomal RNA (429 nucleotides) under Chloroflexota bacterium. RNAcentral's name for it is "Chloroflexi bacterium partial 16S ribosomal RNA". It matches the Rfam family "Bacterial small subunit ribosomal RNA", at positions 355 to 776 of the family's 1533-position model. RNAcentral also lists the same sequence under 1 other name. The record is from RNAcentral. Lineage: Bacteria; Bacillati; Chloroflexota.